GGGGAUAUAGCUCAGUUGGUAGAGUGUCUGCCUUGCAUGCACAAGGCCCUGGGUUCAAUCCCCAGCACCA
RNAcentral lists this transfer RNA (70 nucleotides) under Marmota marmota marmota (Alpine marmot). It matches the Rfam family "tRNA". From Rfam's summary of the family: Transfer RNA (tRNA) molecules are approximately 80 nucleotides in length. Their secondary structure includes four short double-helical elements and three loops (D, anti-codon, and T loops). Further hydrogen bonds mediate the characteristic L-shaped molecular structure. tRNAs have two regions of fundamental functional importance: the anti-codon, which is responsible for specific mRNA codon recognition, and the 3' end, to which the tRNAs corresponding amino acid is attached (by aminoacyl-tRNA synthetases). tRNAs cope with the degeneracy of the genetic code in two manners: having more than one tRNA (with a specific anti-codon) for a particular amino acid; and 'wobble' base-pairing, i.e. permitting non-standard base-pairing at the 3rd anti-codon position. Lineage: Eukaryota; Metazoa; Chordata; Mammalia; Rodentia; Sciuridae. RNAcentral also lists the same sequence under 5 other names. The record is from Rfam by way of RNAcentral.